This 496-nucleotide ribosomal RNA is filed under the name uncultured bacterium. RNAcentral's name for it is "partial 16S ribosomal RNA". It matches the Rfam family "Bacterial small subunit ribosomal RNA", at positions 28 to 506 of the family's 1533-position model. The record is from RNAcentral.
GAUGAACGCUGGCGGCGUGCCUAAUACAUGCAAGUCGAGCGAACAGACGAGGAGCUUGCUCCUCUGACGUUAGCGGCGGACAGGUGAGUAACACGUGGAUAACCUACCUAUAAGACUGGGAUAACUUCGGGAAACCGGAGCGAAUACCGGAUAAUAUAUUGAACCGCAUGGUUCAAUAGUGAAAGACGGUUUUGCUGUCACUUAUAGAUGGAUCCGCGCCGCAUUAGCUAGUUGGUAAGGUAACGGCUUACCAAGGCAACGAUGCGUAGCCGACCUGAGAGGGUGAGCGGCCACACUGGAACUGAGACACGGUCCAGACUCCUACGGGAGGCAGCAGUAGGGAAUCUUCCGCAGUGGGCGAAAGCCUGACGGAGCAACGCCGCGUGAGUGAUGAAGGUCUUCGGAUCGUAAAACUCUGUUAUUAGGGAAGAACAAAUGUGUAAGUAACUAUGCACGUCUUGACGGUACCUAAUCAGAAAGCCACGGCUAACUACGU